CGUAGGUGGCAAGCGUUGUCCGGAUUUAUUGGGCGUAAAGCGCGCGCAGGUGGUUUCUUAAGUCUGAUGCGAAAGCCCACGGCUCAACCGUGGAGGGUCAUUGGAAACUGGGGGAACUUGAGUGCAGAAGAGGAUAGUGGAAUUCCAAGUGUAGCGGUGAAAUGCGUAGAGAUUUGGAGGAACACCAGUGGCGAAGGCGACUGUCUGGUCUGUAACUGACACUGAGGCGCGAAAGCGUGGGGGAGCAAACAGGAUU
This 256-nucleotide ribosomal RNA is filed under the name uncultured bacterium. Its description in RNAcentral is "partial 16S ribosomal RNA". It matches the Rfam family "Bacterial small subunit ribosomal RNA", at positions 526 to 779 of the family's 1533-position model. The record is from RNAcentral.